RNAcentral lists this ribosomal RNA (661 nucleotides) under Stenotrophomonas sp. 33(2013). Its description in RNAcentral is "bacterial SSU rRNA". It matches the Rfam family "Bacterial small subunit ribosomal RNA", at positions 66 to 716 of the family's 1533-position model. The record is from RNAcentral. Lineage: Bacteria; Pseudomonadati; Pseudomonadota; Gammaproteobacteria; Lysobacterales; Lysobacteraceae.
ACGGCAGCACAGAGGAGCUUGCUCCUUGGGUGGCGAGUGGCGGACGGGUGAGGAAUACAUCGGAAUCUACUUUUUCGUGGGGGAUAACGUAGGGAAACUUACGCUAAUACCGCAUACGACCUACGGGUGAAAGCAGGGGAUCUUCGGACCUUGCGCGAUUGAAUGAGCCGAUGUCGGAUUAGCUAGUUGGCGGGGUAAAGGCCCACCAAGGCGACGAUCCGUAGCUGGUCUGAGAGGAUGAUCAGCCACACUGGAACUGAGACACGGUCCAGACUCCUACGGGAGGCAGCAGUGGGGAAUAUUGGACAAUGGGCGCAAGCCUGAUCCAGCCAUACCGCGUGGGUGAAGAAGGCCUUCGGGUUGUAAAGCCCUUUUGUUGGGAAAGAAAUCCAGCCGGCUAAUACCUGGUUGGGAUGACGGUACCCAAAGAAUAAGCACCGGCUAACUUCGUGCCAGCAGCCGCGGUAAUACGAAGGGUGCAAGCGUUACUCGGAAUUACUGGGCGUAAAGCGUGCGUAGGUGGUCGUUUAAGUCCGUUGUGAAAGCCCUGGGCUCAACCUGGGAACUGCAGUGGAUACUGGGCGACUAGAGUGUGGUAGAGGGUAGCGGAAUUCCUGGUGUAGCAGUGAAAUGCGUAGAGAUCAGGAGGAACAUCCAUGGC